AUAAUUAAGGGGAGGAAAAGAAACCAACUCGGAUUCCCCUAGUAACGGCGAGUGAAGCGGGAAGAGCUCAUGUUGUAAAUCUCCAGCUUGCUGGCGAAUUGUAGUCUAAAGGUGCGUGCUCAGUCGUGGUCCCGGGCUAAGUCUGUUGGAAAACAGCAUCAUGGACGGUGACAAUCCGGUUCUUGCCUGGGGUCCCGCGGCGUACGAGCCGUUUCCGACGAGUCGUGUUGCUUGGGAUUGCAGCACUAAGUGGGUGGUAAAUUCCAUCUAAAGCUAAAUAUUGGUGGGAGACCGAUAGCGAACAAGUACCGUGAGGGAAAGAUGAAAAGACUUUUGAAAAGAGAGUAAAAUAGUACCUGAAACUGCUGAAAGGGAAGCGAUUGAAGUCAGUGUUGCUCCUGGUCUUUUUGCCGUCGCCCCCGUGGGGGUUGCGGCGUGGGGCCUGGAGCGUUUCAACAUGCGUUCUGUUCCGCGGGAAAUGUUCAGUGUGCUGGAACCUUCGGGGAAACGCACUGUUCUUGUCGUGGUUAGGACGGAGGACCUUUGCUCCUUUGACUGCGCGUUCCUCUCUCGGGUAUGCUGGUGUCUACUGCUUGCAGUUUUCAUUUUCAUGCUUGCGACUGUGCGUGUUAUUCAUGAGCGAACAUGAUGUUGAAGAAAUGGGCUUU
This 668-nucleotide ribosomal RNA is filed under the name Heterosigma akashiwo. RNAcentral's name for it is "eukaryotic LSU rRNA". It matches the Rfam family "Eukaryotic large subunit ribosomal RNA", at positions 42 to 641 of the family's 3401-position model. The record is from RNAcentral. Lineage: Eukaryota; Raphidophyceae; Chattonellales; Chattonellaceae.